Molecule: long non-coding RNA, 1625 nt
Organism: Dromaius novaehollandiae (emu)
Lineage: Eukaryota; Metazoa; Chordata; Aves; Casuariiformes; Dromaiidae
Exons: 2
Source: RefSeq, a predicted model, not a curated record
UUGUAACACAUUCACAUGACUAAAUUCUCUGCAACUAAAUUCUCUACAGAGCUGUCAGAAGCGUUUGAAACUCCACAUUCAGAUUUAACAUUUAACAUAUUCAAAGCCUCACAGAAAUCAAAAGGGGAGGAGUGAAACCCAGGAUUUUCAAAUUGACCAUCACAGACCGAGUCCUUGAGCUAGUGGAGCCAUCUCUUCACUUUAAAGAAGGAAGAACUGCUUUCUCUUAAAAUACUGCACUAGAGCUCCGGAGCCCAAGGUUCAAUCCUCAUGUGCUGUUGCCUGUGUCCUUGGACAAGUCUUUUUGGGCUGGCUCCAACAAAGGAGAGGCUCUGACCCCUCGACUGCGAACUGUGCCUAAGAGGUCCAGAACCAGCCUUGCAAAGUGACUCAACUCUCCUGAUGAAUUUGAGCCAUUGCAGAGCAAAGAAUGAGAGCAAAGAGGUAGAAUGGUCAUGACAGUCCUGGAAUCUUCAAGGCAAAGAAAAGACGCAUCUCCUGGGUCCUUGAUCUUCAAACAGUCUACAUAGUUUGUCUAGUGGUAAAUAUGUAUAAGCAAUUUCCAUGUAUCACUUUCACAUAUCUAUAACAGAGCUGAUGGUACUUAGCCUGUUAGAAGGAUGACUGCUUUAAAUUUUCUGAAUAUUCAACUGUUACAUAUAGCGUUGAAAUUCAUAACCAUCUAAACAAAUCAGAAUUCACAGAAAUGAAAAGAUAUUUUGCUUCUCAACCCUGGAAAACUCUUCUUCACUGAACAGUAAUAUUACAGUUUGUUCCAUGAAACCUACUCCGAGAGGAAAAAGAAAAUCAGAUAUAUUACAAGAAAAGUCUCCUUAGUCCAGCACAUUCAGCAGUAGCCAGAGAUUAAAUUAACCUAAGUUCAUCAGUAAUAUGAUCCACAGAUCCCCUACUGACUGAGACACCUUUUUUGUCUGUUUGUGAAGGAAGCAGAAGAGGGAAGAGGGAAGGGUCUCUCAGAAGAAUCCGAACCUGUGUGAUUGAACCGUUUACUCCAGAAACCACCAGCAUCAUUUGCUUUGAUAACACACAAAAUAGCUGAAAAAACACAUUCAUAAAAUGUUAUAUCUAAAAUCCUUUGAUUACAAAAAUAUUGGUGUCACAGUAAUGAAUAAAUAAUCAGACAUAUGUCUGCAAAAGAUUAUAGCAUAUGGCUGGUAACAACAUCCUUUUCAGCCAUCUUCUAAAUUGCACACCGAAAUUGAUCUAAAUGACAAACCACAGGUGUAGAAGUCAGGACUUAAGCAUUUUAUCCCCGACUUUGCCACUGAUUUACCAUACAACCUGAGGCACUUAAUUAACCUCAGCUGCCUCCAUCUGUAUUAAAAAGAUAACAAAAACAUAGGUGAAGUCCUUGAGACCUCUAGGAAAAGAAUACCAUGCAAGUUUAAUGAAACUUCUCUGCAAAACAAGAAAUUUUCCACAGCUGUUAGGAGAAACCCACAUGUCCCUUCAGAGUGUAUGGAGCGUACAGAGUGUCCUGGGUAUGCCUCUCUUCGUGUAUUUUCCAUUGUUUGCUAAAUGUGGACAACUGUACUGUUAUCAGUGUGUGAUUUUGCAUUGUCUGCCAUUUGCAAAGAAACAAUAAACUCCAAGUAUCAUUCUGA